GGGACCGUGGUCCAGCUUGGCAAGAUUCGCGCUUGGGGUGUGCGAGAUCGUGGGUUCAAAUCCCACCGGUCCCACCA
Molecule: transfer RNA, 77 nt
Filed under: Candidatus Bathyarchaeota archaeon
Lineage: Archaea; Thermoproteati; Candidatus Bathyarchaeota
Description: tRNA-Pro
Rfam family: tRNA
About the family: Transfer RNA (tRNA) molecules are approximately 80 nucleotides in length. Their secondary structure includes four short double-helical elements and three loops (D, anti-codon, and T loops). Further hydrogen bonds mediate the characteristic L-shaped molecular structure. tRNAs have two regions of fundamental functional importance: the anti-codon, which is responsible for specific mRNA codon recognition, and the 3' end, to which the tRNAs corresponding amino acid is attached (by aminoacyl-tRNA synthetases). tRNAs cope with the degeneracy of the genetic code in two manners: having more than one tRNA (with a specific anti-codon) for a particular amino acid; and 'wobble' base-pairing, i.e. permitting non-standard base-pairing at the 3rd anti-codon position.
Source: RNAcentral